Molecule: ribosomal RNA, 899 nt
Filed under: Bacillus sp. (in: firmicutes)
Lineage: Bacteria; Bacillati; Bacillota; Bacilli; Caryophanales; Bacillaceae
Description: bacterial SSU rRNA
Rfam family: Bacterial small subunit ribosomal RNA
Source: RNAcentral
UGGGAGCUUGCUCCCUGAUGUUAGCGGCGGACGGGUGAGUAACACGUGGGUAACCUGCCUGUAAGACUGGGAUAACUCCGGGAAACCGGGGCUAAUACCGGAUGCUUGUUUGAACCGCAUGGUUCAAACAUAAAAGGUGGCUUCGGCUACCACUUACAGAUGGACCCGCGGCGCAUUAGCUAGUUGGUGAGGUAAUGGCUCACCAAGGCAACGAUGCGUAGCCGACCUGAGAGGGUGAUCGGCCACACUGGGACUGAGACACGGCCCAGACUCCUACGGGAGGCAGCAGUAGGGAAUCUUCCGCAAUGGACGAAAGUCUGACGGAGCAACGCCGCGUGAGUGAUGAAGGUUUUCGGAUCGUAAAGCUCUGUUGUUAGGGAAGAACAAGUACCGUUCGAAUAGGGCGGUACCUUGACGGUACCUAACCAGAAAGCCACGGCUAACUACGUGCCAGCAGCCGCGGUAAUACGUAGGUGGCAAGCGUUGUCCGGAAUUAUUGGGCGUAAAGGGCUCGCAGGCGGUUUCUUAAGUCUGAUGUGAAAGCCCCCGGCUCAACCGGGGAGGGUCAUUGGAAACUGGGGAACUUGAGUGCAGAAGAGGAGAGUGGAAUUCCACGUGUAGCGGUGAAAUGCGUAGAGAUGUGGAGGAACACCAGUGGCGAAGGCGACUCUCUGGUCUGUAACUGACGCUGAGGAGCGAAAGCGUGGGGAGCGAACAGGAUUAGAUACCCUGGUAGUCCACGCCGUAAACGAUGAGUGCUAAGUGUUAGGGGGUUUCCGCCCCUUAGUGCUGCAGCUAACGCAUUAAGCACUCCGCCUGGGGAGUACGGUCGCAAGACUGAAACUCAAAGGAAUUGACGGGGGCCCGCACAAGCGGUGGAGCAUGUGGUUUAAUUCGAA